Molecule: ribosomal RNA, 253 nt
Filed under: uncultured bacterium
Lineage: Bacteria
Description: partial 16S ribosomal RNA
Rfam family: Bacterial small subunit ribosomal RNA
Source: RNAcentral
UACGUAGGGUGCGAGCGUUAAUCGGAAUUACUGGGCGUAAAGCGUGCGCAGGCGGCUUCGCAAGUCAGGCGUGAAAUCCCCGGGCUUAACCUGGGAAUGGCGUCUGAAACUGCGGAGCUGGAGUGUGGCAGAGGGAGGUAGAAUUCCACGUGUAGCGGUGAAAUGCGUAGAUAUGUGGAGGAAUACCGAUGGCGAAGGCAGCCUCCUGGGCCAACACUGACGCUCAUGCACGAAAGCGUGGGGAGCAAACAGG